GACGAACGCUGGCGGCGUGCCUAAUACAUGCAAGUUGAGCGCUGAAGGUUGGUACUUGUACCAACUGGAUGAGCAGCGAACGGGUGAGUAACGCGUGGGGAAUCUGCCUUUGAGCGGGGGACAACAUUUGGAAACGAAUGCUAAUACCGCAUAAAAACUUUAAACACAAGUUUUAAGAUUGAAAGAUGCAAUUGCAUCACUCAAAGAUGAUCCCGCGUUGUAUUAGCUAGUUGGUGAGGUAAAGGCUCACCAAGGCGAUGAUACAUAGCCGACCUGAGAGGGUGAUCGGCCACAUUGGGACUGAGACACGGCCCAAACUCCUACGGGAGGCAGCAGUAGGGAAUCUUCGGCAAUAGACGAAAGUCUGACCGAGCAACGCCGCGUGAGUGAAGAAGGUUUUCGGAUCGUAAAACUCUGUUGGUAGAGAAGAACGUUGGUGAGAGUGGAAAGCUCAUCAAGUGACGGUAACUACCCAGAAAGGGACGGCUAACUACGUG
RNAcentral lists this ribosomal RNA (497 nucleotides) under uncultured bacterium. RNAcentral describes it as "partial 16S ribosomal RNA". It matches the Rfam family "Bacterial small subunit ribosomal RNA", at positions 28 to 507 of the family's 1533-position model. The record is from RNAcentral.